Molecule: ribosomal RNA, 478 nt
Filed under: uncultured bacterium
Lineage: Bacteria
Description: partial 16S ribosomal RNA
Rfam family: Bacterial small subunit ribosomal RNA
Source: RNAcentral
GAUGAACGCUAGCGGCAGGCCUAACACAUGCAAGUCGAGGGAGAAGCCCUUUCGGGGGCAGAAACCGGCGCACGGGUGCGUAACGCGUAUGCAACCUACCUUUCACAGGGGGAUAGCCCGAAGAAAUUUGGAUUAAUACUCCAUAAUAUUAUUGGAUGGCAUCAUUUGAUAAUUAAAACUGCGGUGGUGAAAGAUGGGCAUGCGUCCUAUUAGCUAGUUGGAGUGGUAACGGCACCCCAAGGCUACGAUAGGUAGGGGACCUGAGGGGGAGAUCCGCCACACUGGUACUGAGACAGAGACCACACUCCUACGGGAGGCAGCAGUAAGGAAUAUUAGUCAAUGGUCGGAAGACUGAACCAGCCAUGCCGCGUACAGGAAGAAUGCCUUAUGGGUUGUAAACUGCUUUUAUAUAAGAGGAAUAGGUCGUACGUGUACGUUGAUGACGGUACCAUAUGAAUAAGCAUCGGCUAACUCCGUG